UACGUGGGGGCCGAGCGUUGUCCGGAGUUAUUGGGCGUAAAGCGCGCGCAGGCGGCCUCGCGCGCCCGACGUGAAAGCCCCCGGCUUAACCGGGGAGGGUCGUUGGGGACGGCGGGGCUUGAGGGCGGGAGAGGUCGGUGGAAUUCCCGGUGUAGUGGUGAAAUGCGUAGAGAUCGGGAGGAACACCUGUGGCGAAGGCGGCCGACUGGGCCGACCCUGACGCUGAGGCGCGAAGGCGUGGGGAGCGAACGGG
Molecule: ribosomal RNA, 253 nt
Filed under: uncultured bacterium
Lineage: Bacteria
Description: partial 16S ribosomal RNA
Rfam family: Bacterial small subunit ribosomal RNA
Source: RNAcentral